RNAcentral lists this ribosomal RNA (466 nucleotides) under uncultured Lautropia sp. RNAcentral's name for it is "bacterial SSU rRNA". It matches the Rfam family "Bacterial small subunit ribosomal RNA", at positions 337 to 795 of the family's 1533-position model. Lineage: Bacteria; Pseudomonadati; Pseudomonadota; Betaproteobacteria; Burkholderiales; Burkholderiaceae. The record is from RNAcentral.
UCCUACGGGAGGCAGCAGUGGGGAAUUUUGGACAAUGGGCGCAAGCCUGAUCCAGCAAUGCCGCGUGUGUGAUGAAGGCCUUCGGGUUGUAAAGCACUUUUGGCGGGAACGAAAAGGACUGUGCCAAUACCACGGUUCGAUGACGGUACCCGCAGAAUAAGCACCGGCUAACUACGUGCCAGCAGCCGCGGUAAUACGUAGGGUGCGAGCGUUAAUCGGAAUUACUGGGCGUAAAGAGUGCGCAGGCGGUUUUGCAAGACCGAUGUGAAAUCCCCGGGCUUAACCUGGGAACUGCAUUGGUGACUGCAAGGCUAGAGUGUGUCAGAGGGAGGUGGAACUCCGCAUGUAGCAGUGAAAUGCGUAGAUAUGCGGAAGAACACCGAUGGCGAAGGCAGCCUCCUGGGAUAACACUGACGCUCAUGCACGAAAGCGUGGGGAGCAAACAGGAUUAGAUACCCCGGUAGUC